AGGGAAAGUGGAUCUGGCGCAUUGACCAUCAGAACAUCAACGUCCUGAACACGAAGACAAACCUCAGAAGCAUAUGGGUUUCAAGUAUGCCAAGGUAAUUAUCAACAGUAAAUUUCCGUUAACUUCAUACCCGUAUCCAAUUCCCGAAGACAAUUGCGACUAUCAAGAAGAAAAUCUUGACCUAUAAUGACCUUCCUGCACUGGUCUCGUAGGACGAGGCCACUACGCACUAACAGGUAGAUCCAAGACCUUGCCAACAUUCCCAAAGUCAACCGUGCUUUGGCAUCUACCCUGGCCUUAGCAGCCUGCAAAGCCAACCCCUCGUACAAAGUCAAAAUCAUCAGAAAGGUCGUCCAAAACUAAAGCUUCUUCCACAGGAUUUAGAUUAGAGAUUCUAUUCAUUAGCGACAAACUUCGCGGUAACCCUCCUGAUUCUCCACCUUGCAAUACCUUUACCCUUAUCCUCCUUAGAGAGGCGUCGUAUACUAGAAGUUGAUCCGGUAAGAAACCCUUUUUUCAACCUAAAACCCUUCUUCUGCAUCAUGAGUGCAAACACACAAUAAUCUACAAACCAUCCAAUACCCUAACACUAACAGUUCUCACAAAAAUUCAACAAGGCCCAUAUAAGCACGACAGAACAAACCUCCGAACCUGAUCAAGUUCCAAAGUGCGGCAGAGGAUCUACUGUGCGCCCACCAGUUCUGUUGUACUGGAUUU
This is a long non-coding RNA of Rhododendron vialii, 717 nucleotides long. RefSeq lists it as uncharacterized. The transcript is spliced from 3 exons. The record is from RefSeq and is a predicted model, not a curated record. Lineage: Eukaryota; Viridiplantae; Streptophyta; Magnoliopsida; Ericales; Ericaceae.